GACGAACGCUGGCGGCGUGCUUAACACAUGCAAGUCGAACGGAAAGGCCCUGCUUUUGUGGGGUGCUCGAGUGGCGAACGGGUGAGUAACACGUGAGUAACCUGCCCUUGACUUUGGGAUAACUUCAGGAAACUGGGGCUAAUACCGGAUAGGAGCUCCUGCUGCAUGGUGGGGGUUGGAAAGUUUCGGCGGUUGGGGAUGGACUCGCGGCUUAUCAGCUUGUUGGUGGGGUAGUGGCUUACCAAGGCUUUGACGGGUAGCCGGCCUGAGAGGGUGACCGGCCACAUUGGGACUGAGAUACGGCCCAGACUCCUACGGGAGGCAGCAGUGGGGAAUAUUGCACAAUGGGCGGAAGCCUGGUGCAGCAACGCCGCGUGCGGGAUGACGGCCUUCGGGUUGUAAACCGCUUUCGCCUGUGACGAAGCGUGAGUGACGGUAAUGGGUAAAGAAGCACCGGCUAACUACGUGCCAGCAGCCGCGGUGAUACGUAGGGUGCGAGCGUUGUCCGGAUUUAUUGGGCGUAAAGGGCUCGUAGGUGGUUGAUCGCGUCGGAAGUGUAAUCUUGGGGCUUAACCCUGAGCGUGCUUUCGAUACGGGUUGACUUGAGGAAGGUAGGGGAGAAUGGAAUUCCUGGUGGAGCGGUGGAAUGCGCAGAUAUCAGGAGGAACACCAGUGGCGAAGGCGGUUCUCUGGGCCUUUCCUGACGCUGAGGAGCGAAAGCGUGGGGAGCGAACAGGCUUAGAUACCCUGGUAGUCCACGCUGUAAACGGUGGGUACUAGGUGUGGGGUCCAUUCCACGGGUUCCGUGCCGUAGCUAACGCUUUAAGUACCCCGCCUGGGGAGUACGGCCGCAAGGCUAAAACUCAAAGGAAUUGACGGGGCCCCGCACAAGCGGCGGAGCAUGCGGAUUAAUUCGAUGCAACGCGUAGAACCUUACCUGGGUUUGACAUGGAUCGGGAGCGCUCAGAGAUGGGUGUGCCUCUUUUGGGGUCGGUUCACAGGUGGUGCAUGGCUGUCGUCAGCUCGUGUCGUGAGAUGUUGGGUUAAGUCCCGCAACGAGCGCAACCCUUGUUCACUGUUGCCAGCACGUUAUGGUGGGGACUCAGUGGAGACCGCCGGGGUCAACUCGGAGGAAGGUGGGGAUGACGUCAAGUCAUCAAGCCCCUUAUGUCCAGGGCUUCACGCAUGCUACAAUGGCUGGUACAGAGAGUGGCGAGCCUGUGAGGGUGAGCGAAUCUCGGAAAGCCGGUCUCAGUUCGGAUUGGGGUCUGCAACUCGACCUCAUGAAGUCGGAGUCGCUAGUAAUCGCAGAUCAGCAACGCUGCGGUGAAUACGUUCCCGGGGCU
RNAcentral lists this ribosomal RNA (1346 nucleotides) under uncultured bacterium. Its description in RNAcentral is "bacterial SSU rRNA". It matches the Rfam family "Bacterial small subunit ribosomal RNA", at positions 28 to 1381 of the family's 1533-position model. The record is from RNAcentral.